This 115-nucleotide ribosomal RNA is filed under the name uncultured Cenococcum. Its description in RNAcentral is "partial 5.8S ribosomal RNA". It matches the Rfam family "5.8S ribosomal RNA", at positions 1 to 116 of the family's 154-position model. Rfam says of the family: 5.8S ribosomal RNA (5.8S rRNA) is a component of the large subunit of the eukaryotic ribosome. It is transcribed by RNA polymerase I as part of the 45S precursor that also contains 18S and 28S rRNA. Functionally, it is thought that 5.8S rRNA may be involved in ribosome translocation. The record is from RNAcentral. Lineage: Eukaryota; Fungi; Ascomycota; Dothideomycetes; Gloniales; Gloniaceae.
AAACUUUCAACAACGGAUCUCUUGGUUCUGGCAUCGAUGAAGAACGCAGCGAAAUGCGAUAAGUAGUGUGAAUUGCAGAAUUCAGUGAAUCAUCGAAUCUUUGAACGCAAUGCGC